CCCGCUGAACUUAAGCAUAUCAAUAAGCGGAGGAAAAGAAACCAACAGGGAUUGCCUUAGUAACGGCGAGUGAAGCGGCAACAGCUCAAAUUUGAAAUCUGGCUCUUUCAGGGCCCGAGUUGUAAUUUGCAGAAGAUGCUUUGGGUGUGGCUCCGGUCUAAGUUCCUUGGAACAGGACGUCAUAGAGGGUGAGAAUCCCGUACGUGACUGGGUGCCUUCGCUCGUGUAAAGCUCUUUCGACGAGUCGAGUUGUUUGGGAAUGCAGCUCAAAAUGGGUGGUAAAUUUCAUCUAAAGCUAAAUAUUGGCCAGAGCCCGAUAGCGCACAAGUAGAGUGAUCGAAAGAUGAAAAGCACUUUGGAAAGAGAGUUAAACAGUACGUGAAAUUGUUGAAAGGGAAGCGCUUGCAAUCAGACUUGCGCGCUGUUGAUCAUCCGAGGUUUUCCCCGGUGCACUCGGCAGCGUUCAGGCCAGCAUCGGUUUUGGUGGGCGGAUAAAGGCCUUGGGAAUGUAGCUUCUUUCGGGGAGUGUUAUAGCCCUCGGUGCAAUGCGCCCUACCGGGACCGAGGACCGCGCUCCGGCUAGGAUGCUGGCGUAAUGGUUGUAAGCGACCCGUCUUGAAACACGG
Molecule: ribosomal RNA, 626 nt
Filed under: uncultured fungus
Lineage: Eukaryota; Fungi
Description: eukaryotic LSU rRNA
Rfam family: Eukaryotic large subunit ribosomal RNA
Source: RNAcentral